GAUGAACGCUGGCGGCGUGCUUAAUACAUGCAAGUCGAGCGAACAGACCAGGAGCUUGCUCCUCUGAUGUUAGACGCGGACGUAACACUAAAAAGUGUUUAACCUACCUAUAAGACAGGGAUAACAUCGGGAAACAGGAGCUCAUACCGGAUAAUAUAUUGAACCGCAUGGUUCAAUAGUGAAAGUCGGUUUUGCUGUCACUUAUAGAUGGAUCCGCGCCGCAUUAGCUAGUUGGUAAGGUAACGGCUUACUAAGGCAACGAUGCGUAGCCGACCUGGGAGAGGGAUAGGCCAAACUGGGAGAGAGAGACGAGCCAGACUCCUACGGAGGGCAGCAGCAGAGAAUCUUCAGAGAUGGGCGAAAGCCUGACGGAGCAACGCCGGAUGGGUGAUGAAGGUCUUCGGGCCGGAAGACUGUGUUAUUAGGGAAGAUCAAAUGCAUAAGUAACUAAGCACGUCUUGACGGUACCUGGUCAGAAAGCAACGGCUAACUACGUG
Molecule: ribosomal RNA, 497 nt
Filed under: uncultured bacterium
Lineage: Bacteria
Description: partial 16S ribosomal RNA
Rfam family: Bacterial small subunit ribosomal RNA
Source: RNAcentral